UACGGAGGGUGCAAGCGUUAUCCGGAUUCACUGGGUUUAAAGGGUGCGUAGGCGGAUUGGUAAGUCCGUGGUGAAAUCCCCAAGCUUAACUUGGGAACUGCCGUGGAUACUAUCAAUCUUGAAUAUCGUGGAGGUAAGCGGAAUAUGUCAUGUAGCGGUGAAAUGCUUAGAUAUGACAUAGAACACCAAUUGCGUAGGCAGCUUACUACACGAUCAUUGACGCUGAGGCACGAAAGCGUGGGGAUCAAACAGG
Molecule: ribosomal RNA, 253 nt
Filed under: uncultured bacterium
Lineage: Bacteria
Description: partial 16S ribosomal RNA
Rfam family: Bacterial small subunit ribosomal RNA
Source: RNAcentral